Molecule: non-coding RNA, 230 nt
Filed under: Brevibacillus borstelensis
Lineage: Bacteria; Bacillati; Bacillota; Bacilli; Caryophanales; Paenibacillaceae
Description: T-box sequence
Rfam family: T-box leader
About the family: Uncharged tRNA acts as the effector for transcription antitermination of genes in the T-box leader family. T-boxes are found upstream of many aminoacyl-tRNA synthetase genes and some amino acid biosynthetic genes usually in Gram-positive bacteria.
Source: RNAcentral
CAAAUGGUUAUGAGUAGAAGUAGUAGAAAUGAAAAGAUCUUUCAGAGAGCCGUUGGUCGGUGCGAAGCGGCAGUAUCAUUCAUUUCGAACUCGUCUAUGAACUGCUGCCUGACAAUGUAGGGUAAGCCGGAGUUCCACCGUUACAAGGAUAGAUGGUGAUGGCCAUCGAAUGAGCUCAUUUCACAGGAAAUGAAGUAGAGUGGUACCGCGGGGUCAACCUCGUCUCUAUA